GCUUAAUUCUAAUGCAUGGUUGCAUUUCAUAUCUGCUUACAUAUUGCUUGCCCUAAAUAAAAUGUAUUUUUUAGGGCUUAAUGAUGCUUCAUAUUUUUUUCAUUUUCUUUGUACUUUUCUUUCUUUUUGUUGUUCAUACUUCAUUUCAAAGAGGACUAAUGACAUCACAGGUUAUGCCUUGACUAGUAUUUGAAUUGGAUUCAAGUGAGACAGAGCUGCACAAAGUCCUCAGCCUCAUUCAGACUCUUCCAGAAUCAUCCAAGUCCAGCAGCAAGACAAAAGCCAGGACAACUGGCAAUGGCCCAGGAUUCAGUGGAUGACAUUGACAUCUUUGAGAUGUCAUCUCCACAGAACCUCCCUCAGUAUUACAGACAUUGCACCCAAUUCUCAUUUGCCCAUUCCAUCAGGGAAGAACUUCACAUGUUUGAGGUGGACUCGGACCAAGUGGCGAUGAGAGCACAAGUUGAAUGUAGCUACAUUAGACAUGCAUUUGCUUUUGGAUUGCUGAAAGUUUUCUUACUUUGCACAAAGAAUUCAAGACUGUAGAUAUGUAUUCUAUUGGUAUCUGAAUUUCAAUAUGCCAAGCUAGAGUAUUUGGACCAAAUCUAUUGAACUACCAUAUGGUCAAAAUUUCCCAUGUUCACUUUAGUUGAUUUCAGAUAAAUAUCUCCUUCACAGGAGCCCUGAACUUUCAUGUUUCACAGCUAUCACGUGUGUAAAAAAAUACAUGUUGCUUGAAUUGUUUAUUAGUAUCCUUAGGAGAAAAAGUGCUACUAGCUAUAAAACUGUGCUUACCUUUAAUGUGUUUUUAUAAAAAAUGUGAACUGCAAGGAGGCUGUUUCAAGUAAGCCUUAUAAAUCACCUGGACUAUACCACUAUUGGCAUGUCUUAGAGUCAUUAUGUAUAAUUGGUUAAUGGUGUAUUUAUUCUCCUAUUAUUGGAUCAGCUCCAGGGGUAAUCACUGAUGAGUUUCAAAACUCCAGGAGGAUUUCUGUGCAGAGGUAAAUGAAUUAAAAAACAAGAUAAAACUAAUUACUUUUAUUUAAAUUCAAUUUUGGGGGUAAUCGUUCUGUCUUGGGGGUCUAGCUGCAGUUUUCAGAAGUGAUAAAUUUGCUUUUCUUUGCUUACUUGAAUUGCCCUAGAGCAGAGAAGAAAAAUCAUUUGCAAUGAGAAACCAAAAUUAAGUCCCCUAAACUAUACUUCUUAUAGCUAGCUAUUAUAAGACAGGGCUUCUUCUCAAGGCCUCUCCUCUCAUGUGGUUUUGGCCCUUAGGAAGCUGAUCAACAAGACAUGGGAACAUUCUGAUAAACCAAUAUCAAAUGAAUAGUCCCAUUAGAGUCUGGAAUUUCCUGGAUCUUAAGAAAUUAUAGAAGCAUCACCUUAAGAACAUUUUAAGUAUAUAUAGAGCAUGGACAAAUAUUUAAAAGGUCUAAAUCUAUUGUUAUUUUUUUCAUUGGUUCACUGGUCACCUAGCUAUACCUAAGCUGUAUCAUAGCUUAUUCUGAUGGUAGAUAGAGUAGAAAGAACACUAGAACUAACAUAAUAG
Molecule: long non-coding RNA, 1546 nt
Filed under: Monodelphis domestica (gray short-tailed opossum)
Lineage: Eukaryota; Metazoa; Chordata; Mammalia; Didelphimorphia; Didelphidae
Description: lncRNA (ENSMODG00000042010.1)
Source: RNAcentral